CCUACGGGAGACAGCAGUGGGGAAUAUUGCGCAAUGGGCGAAAGCCUGACGCAGCGACGCCGCGUGAGGGAUGAAGGUCUUCGGAUUGUAAACCUCUGUCAGCAGGGAAGAACGGUCACUGUGCUAAUCAGCAGUGAAUUUACGCUACCUGCAAAGGCAGCACCGCCUAACUCCGUGCCAGCAGCCGCGGUAAUACGGAGGGUGCGAGCGUUGAUCGGAAUUACUGGGCGGAAAGCGCUCGUAGGCGGUGGGUGAAGUCAGGGGUGAAAUCCCCGGGCUCAACCUGGGAACUGCCUUUGAAACUGGCAGACUGGAGUGAGUGAGAGGAUAGCGGAAUUCCAGGUGUAGGAGUGAAAUGCGUAGAUAUCUGGAGGAACAUCAGUGGCGAAGGCGACUAGCUGGAACGUAACUGACGCUGAGGAGCGAAAGCGUGGGUAGCAAACAGGAUUAGAUACCCUUGUAGUC
RNAcentral lists this ribosomal RNA (465 nucleotides) under uncultured bacterium. RNAcentral's name for it is "partial 16S ribosomal RNA". It matches the Rfam family "Bacterial small subunit ribosomal RNA", at positions 338 to 795 of the family's 1533-position model. The record is from RNAcentral.